RNAcentral lists this non-coding RNA (58 nucleotides) under Spodoptera frugiperda (fall armyworm). Lineage: Eukaryota; Metazoa; Arthropoda; Insecta; Lepidoptera; Noctuidae. The record is from RNAcentral.
CCUCUUUUAUUGCCACUUUGGUGUCAAUCAAUAUAACCAACGUGACAAUAAAAGAUAA